This 497-nucleotide ribosomal RNA is filed under the name uncultured bacterium. RNAcentral's name for it is "partial 16S ribosomal RNA". It matches the Rfam family "Bacterial small subunit ribosomal RNA", at positions 28 to 507 of the family's 1533-position model. The record is from RNAcentral.
GAUGAACGCUGGCGGCGUGCCUAAUACAUGCAAGUCGAGCGAACAGACGAGGAGCUUGCUCCUCUGACGUUAGCGGCGGACGGGAGUGUAACACGUGGAUCACCUACCUAUAAGACUGGUAUAACUUCGGGAAACCGGAGCUAAUACCGGAUAAUAUAUUGAACCGCAUGGUUCAAGAGUGAAAGGCGGUUUUGCUGUCACUUAUAGAUGGAUCCGCGCCGCAUUAGCUAGUUGGUAAGGUAACGGCUUACCAAGGCAACGAUGCGUAGCCGACCUGAGAGGGUGAUCGGCCACCCUGUAACUGAGGCACGGUCCAGACGCCUACGGUAGGCCGCAGUAGGGAAUCUUGCGCAAUGGGCGAAAGCCUGACGGAGCAACGCCGCGUGAGUGAGGAAGGUCUUCGGAUCGUAAAACUCUGUUAUUAGGGAAGAACAAAUGUGUAAGUAACUAUGCACGUCUUGACGGUACCUAAUCAGAAAGCCCCGGCUAACUACGUG